GGCGUAUUUUGCCCAGGCGGAGCUCGACCGCCGCUCGAAACGAUGAAGGCCUUCAUCGAUGACCACCGCGCCGACUACGGGGUCGAGCCGAUCUGCAAGGUACUGCCGAUCGCCCCG
This is a non-coding RNA of Lautropia sp. SCN 69-89, 117 nucleotides long. The record is from Rfam. NCBI's taxonomy places the organism in Bacteria, Pseudomonadati, Pseudomonadota, Betaproteobacteria, Burkholderiales, Burkholderiaceae.